This 460-nucleotide ribosomal RNA is filed under the name uncultured bacterium. RNAcentral's name for it is "partial 16S ribosomal RNA". It matches the Rfam family "Bacterial small subunit ribosomal RNA", at positions 338 to 795 of the family's 1533-position model. The record is from RNAcentral.
CCUACGGGAGGCUGCAGUGAGGAAUAUUGGUCAAUGGCCGUAAGGCUGAACCAGCCAAGUCGCGUGAAGGAAGAAUGCCCUAUGGGUUGUAAACUUCUUUUAUAUGGGAAUAAAAGUUUCCACGUGUGGGAAUUUGUAUGUACCCUAUGAAUAAGCAUCGGCUAACUCCGUGCCAGCAGCCGCGGUAAUACGGAGGAUGCGAGCGUUAUCCGGAUUUAUUGGGUUUAAAGGGUGCGUAGGUGGAUUUUUAAGUCAGUGGUGAAAGUUUGUGGCUCAACCGUAAAAUUGCCGUUGAAACUGGAAGACUUGAGUGUGUUUGAGGUAGGCGGAAUGCGUGGUGUAGCGGUGAAAUGCAUAGAUAUCACGCAGAACGCCGAUUGCGAAGGCAGCUUACUAAGCCGUAACUGACACUGAGGCACGAAAGCGUGGGUAUCAAACAGGAUUAGAUACCCGGGUAGUC